This 68-nucleotide transfer RNA is filed under the name Crossobamon orientalis. RNAcentral's name for it is "tRNA-Arg". The record is from RNAcentral. Lineage: Eukaryota; Metazoa; Chordata; Lepidosauria; Squamata; Gekkonidae.
CGGUGGUUAGUAUAACAAAAAUACCUAAUUUCGACUUAGGAGCUCUCGCCUAACCCCGAGACCACCAA